UACGAAGGGGGCGAGCGUUGUUCGGAUUUACUGGGCGUAAAGGGCGCGUAGGCGGCGGGUCAAGUCGGGUGUGAAAGCCCCGGGCUCAACCUGGGAGGUGCGUUCGAGACUAGUCUGCUAGAGUUCGGGAGAGGAGCGUGGAAUUCCCAGUGUAGAGGUGAAAUUCGUAGAUAUUGGGAAGAACACCGGUGGCGAAGGCGGCGCUCUGGACCGAGACUGACGCUGAGGCGCGAAAGCGUGGGGAGCAAACAGG
This 253-nucleotide ribosomal RNA is filed under the name uncultured bacterium. RNAcentral's name for it is "partial 16S ribosomal RNA". It matches the Rfam family "Bacterial small subunit ribosomal RNA", at positions 524 to 776 of the family's 1533-position model. The record is from RNAcentral.